AGGAUGAACGCUAGCGGCAGGCCUAAUACAUGCAAGUCGAGGGGUAGAGCUAGCUUGCUAGCUUGAGACCGGCGCACGGGUGCGUAACGCGUAUGCAACCUACCUCCAUCAGGGGGAUAGCCCGGAGAAAUCCGGAUUAACACCGCAUGAAAUCACAGCACGGCAUCGUGCAAUGAUCAAACAUUCAUGGGAUGGGGAUGGGCAUGCGUGCCAUUAGCUAGUUGGCGGGGUAAGGGCCCACCAAGGCUACGAUGGCUA
RNAcentral lists this ribosomal RNA (258 nucleotides) under uncultured bacterium. RNAcentral describes it as "partial small subunit ribosomal RNA". It matches the Rfam family "Bacterial small subunit ribosomal RNA", at positions 26 to 285 of the family's 1533-position model. The record is from RNAcentral.